AAAUAGAAGCGCCAGAACUAUUUUUAUAGUUGACGAGGACUGAGAUUAUCGAAAAUUCGGCGGAUGUCUCAGAGGUAGUUGUAACCGUUAUCUACAAAACUACAAAGUGAUUUGUAGGACAAAAGGAUAAC
Molecule: non-coding RNA, 131 nt
Filed under: uncultured Fusobacterium sp.
Lineage: Bacteria; Fusobacteriati; Fusobacteriota; Fusobacteriia; Fusobacteriales; Fusobacteriaceae
Description: glmS glucosamine-6-phosphate activated ribozyme
Rfam family: glmS glucosamine-6-phosphate activated ribozyme aptamer
About the family: This entry contains a glucosamine-6-phosphate activated ribozyme that is found in the mRNA for GlmS. GlmS is an enzyme that uses fructose-6-phosphate and glutamine to generate glucosamine-6-phosphate.
Source: RNAcentral